RNAcentral lists this ribosomal RNA (433 nucleotides) under uncultured bacterium. RNAcentral's name for it is "partial 16S ribosomal RNA". It matches the Rfam family "Bacterial small subunit ribosomal RNA", at positions 29 to 507 of the family's 1533-position model. The record is from RNAcentral.
AACGAACGCUGGCGGCAUGCCUAACACAUGCAAGUCGAACGAGACCUUCGGGUCUAGUGGCGCACGGGUGCGUAACGCGUGGGAACCUGCCCUUAGGUUCGGAAUAACUCCCCGAAAGGGGUGCUAAUACCGGAUAAUGUCUUCGGACCAAAGAUUUAUCGCCUUUGGAUGGGCCCGCGUUGGAUUAGCUAGUUGGUAGGGUAAAAGCCUGCCAAGGCGACGAUCCAUAGCUGGUCUGAGAGGAUGAUCAGCCACACUGGGACUGAGACACGGCCCAGACUCCUACGGGAGGCAGCAGUGGGGAAUAUUGGGCAAUGGGCGAAAGCCUGAUCCAGCAAUGCCGCGUGAGUGAUGAAGGCCUUAGGGUUGUAAAGCUCUUUUACCCGGGAUGAUAAUGACAGUACCGGGAGAAUAAGCUCCGGCUAACUCCGUG